RNAcentral lists this ribosomal RNA (255 nucleotides) under uncultured bacterium. Its description in RNAcentral is "partial 16S ribosomal RNA". It matches the Rfam family "Bacterial small subunit ribosomal RNA", at positions 524 to 777 of the family's 1533-position model. The record is from RNAcentral.
UACGUAGGGUGCGAGCGUUAAUCGGAAUUACUGGGCGUAAAGCGUGCGCAGGCGGUUCGUUGUGUCGGUGGUGAAAUCCCCGGGCUUAACCUGGGAAUGGCCAUGGAAACUGGCGAACUGGAGUGCGGCAGAGGGGGGUGGAAUUCCGCGGUGUAGCAGUGAAAUGCGUAGAUAUCUGGAGGAACACCGGUGGCGAAGGCGGCAUCCUGGACCGGUAUUGACGCUGAGGCGCGAAAGCCAGGGGAGCAAACGGGG